Long non-coding RNA from Orcinus orca (killer whale), 1423 nucleotides. RefSeq lists it as uncharacterized. The transcript has 2 exons. NCBI's taxonomy places the organism in Eukaryota, Metazoa, Chordata, Mammalia, Artiodactyla, Delphinidae. The record is from RefSeq and is a predicted model, not a curated record.
UACACUACCAAAUGUAAAAUAGGUAGUUAGUGGGAAGCAGCUGCAUAGCACAGGGAAAUCUGCUUGAUGCUUUGCGACCACCUAGAGGGGUGGGAUAAGGAGUGUAGGAGGGAGACCCAAGAGUGUGGGGAUAUGGGGAUAUACGUACGGCGUAUAGCUGAUUCACUUUGUUAUACAGCAGAGACUAACACAACAUUGUAAAGCAAUUAUACUCCAAUAAAGAUGUCAGAAAAAAAGAAAGAAAGAAAGAGGGAGGACUCUUUUAGAUUAAAAGCAUGUAAAGAGGGCUUCCCUGGUGGCGCAGUGGUUGAGAGUCCGCCUGCUGAUGCAGGGGACGCGGGUUUGUGCCCCGGUCCGGGAAGAUCCCACAUGCCGCGGAGCGGCUGGGCCCGUGAGCCAUGACCACUGAGCCUGCGCAUCCAGAGCCUGUGCUCCGCAACUUGAGAGGCCACAACAGUGAGAGGCCCAUGUACCGCAAAAUAAAUAAAUAAAUAAAUAAAAGCAUGUAAAGAGAUUGACGGGACCCAGGGCACACUACCCCAAAACAUGGAAAACCAUUUUCUCCUCUACAAGAUAUAACAAACAAAUGCAAUGCAUACAACUUUAUUGGAUCCCGUUUAGGAAAAAAACAAAUAGAAGAGAUAUUCUUGGGACAAUGGGGAAAAAUUGAAUAAGAACUGGGUAUUGAAUGACAUAAGUGAAUUAAUUAUUAAUUUACAUUGGGUAACAUCUUACGGAAAAACCCGAACGAACUUUUUGGCCAACCCAAUAUUUAAGAGGUAAGUGUUAUGAUACCUGCAAUUUAUUUUUAAAUGAUUCAGCGACAGUAUAAAAUAUGUAUAGAUAGUUCAUUGGUGAGUGAUGAAAUAAAUAUGGUAAAAUCAUAAAAAUUGUUUCAUCUGGGUGGAGAGUAUACAGAUAUUCAUUGUAAUUUUCUUAAAUUUGUCUCCAUGUAUGAAUAAGUUCAUAAUAAAAAGGUUAGAGAGAUAAAAAUCAAGUGUGUAAACUUCUGCUUAACCUCAGGUUUUUUUUAAGGACACCACAAAUUAUGUAAAUUAAAUAGAUGAACUUCAGUCAACUGUCCUACAAAUUCAAAUCAGUUUCAUUCAAAAAAGUAUAAAAUUGCUAAUCUGAGAAACAAGACACUGAUGGCAUUCAGACAACAGAACUUUUCUAAAAGGAUUGUUUUAAUGGUCAACCGUUAAAAAUCAACCCAAUGAAGUGAUGUAAGAAUUAUUUGCUGUAGUAGUAGUUAGAAGUGACAGCAUGAUCUACUUAGGAUAUAAAUGAUGGCUUAAUUUUUCUGAGAAACUACUGUUUCAAAGUGUUAAAUUGAAAUUUUAUAUCUGUACAUAUGUUACAUGAAUAUAUAAAAUGUAUAUGAAUAUUAACUAUUAAGCUUAUAAUAGAUAAAAUGGUAAAA